UUCUGCAGGCUGUACAAGAAGCAUGGUGCCAGCAUCUGCCCCUGGGGAGGGCCUCAGGAAGCACUUACUCCUGGUGGGAGGCAAGGGGAGCCAGCAUGUCACAUGGGUUUGCACUACCUUUAUGAGCUGUAACACUCACCACGAAGGUCUGCGGCUUCACGCCUGAAGUCAGCGAGACCACGAACCCACCAGAAGGAAGAAACUCUGGACACAUCUGAACAUCUGAAGGAACAAACUCCUGACACACCAUCUUUAAGAGCUGUAACACUCACCGUGAAGGUCCAUGGCUUCCUUUUGAAGUCAUCGAGACCAAGAACUGGGCACCUCUUGGUGACCACUAAGGGACUAUCACCUAUGGCCAAGCGGAUCGAGGCCAUCAAGCUACAGAUGGUCUUACAAAUGGAACCCUAAAUGAGCUCAACUAACAAUUCUACCGAGGACCCCUGGACUGACCUGCUGGCUCUUUGACUGGCCUGAAGAAUUCCCAUCUGGAGGACACUACAACUGCAGGGCCCCCUUUUCACCCCUAUUCAGCAGGAAGUAGCUAGAGUGCUCAUCACCCAAUUCCCAACAGCAGUUGUGGUGUCCUGUUUAGAGGGGAGAUUGAGAGAUGAAGCCAGCUGGACUUACUGGGUUGAGCAAGGACUUGGAGAACUUUUCUGUCUAGAUAGAGGACUGUAAAUGCACCAAUCAGUGCUCUGUUUCUAGCUAAAGGAUUGUAAAUGCACCAAUCAGUGCUCUGUGUCUAGCUAAAGGAUUGUAAAUGCACCAAUCAGCACUCUGUAAAAACCCACUAAUCAGCACUCUGUGUCUAGCUAAAGGAUUGUAAAUACAUCAAUCAGCAUUCUGUAAAAAUGCACCAAUCAGUGCUCUGUGUCUAGCUAAAGGGUUGUAAACGCAGCAAUCAGCACUCUGUAAAAUGGACCAAUCAGCAGGACAUGGGUGGGGACAAAUAAGGGAAUAAAAGCUGGCUACCCAAGCCAGCAGCAGCAACCCACUUGGUUCCCCUUCCAUGCUGUGGAAGCUUUGUUCUUUUGCUCUUCACAAUAAAUCUUGCUGCUGCUCACUCUUUGGGUCCGCACUACCUUUUUGAGCUGUAACACUCACCGUGAGGGUCUGCAGCUUCACUCCUGAAGUCAGCGAGACCACGAACCCAACAGAAGGAAGAAGCUCUGGACAUAUCUGAAUAUGUGAAGGAAGCAACUCCAGACACACCAUCUUUAAUAGUUGUAACACUCACCACAAAGGUCCGCGGCUUCAUUCUUGAAGUCAGCAAGACCAAGAACUCACCAGAAUGAAUAACUUCCGGACACAAAAUCUCUCUCCCCACUCCCAGUCCACAAUAAUUAUUCAGCUGAUUCCUAUUUUUAUAGAUUUGCCUUUUCCAGAAUGUCAUAUAAGGUGCUCAUACAGGAUGUAAUCUUUUGUGUCUGGAUUCGUUCACCAAGCAUGAUGCUUGUAUUAGAAAUUCGUUCCCUUUUAUUGCUGAAUAGUAUUUUAUUGUGCUAAAAUAUAACAAUUUGCCAUUUAUCAGUUAAUAAACAUUUGACUUAUUUUC
Pan troglodytes (chimpanzee) is the source of this 1558-nucleotide long non-coding RNA. RefSeq lists it as uncharacterized. The transcript is spliced from 3 exons. The record is from RefSeq and is a predicted model, not a curated record. Lineage: Eukaryota; Metazoa; Chordata; Mammalia; Primates; Hominidae.